CCCUUAGAUGUUCUGGGCUGCACGCGCGCUACACUGAUGCGUUCAACGAGUUUAUAACCUUGUCCGACAGGAUUGGGUAAUCUUUUGAAAACGCAUCGUGAUGGGGAUAGAUUAUUGUAAUUAUUAAUCUUCAACGAGGAAUUCCUAGUAAGUGCGAAUCAUCAGUUCGCACUGAUUACGUCCCUGCCCUUUGUACACACCGCCCGUCGCUCCUACCGAUUGGCUGAUCCGGUGAAUAAUUCGGACCGGUACCUCAAGUGGUUCGCCGCUUUUGGCGCUGGAAAGUCUAGUAAACCUUAUCAGCUAGAGGAAGGAGAANUCGUAACA
RNAcentral lists this ribosomal RNA (327 nucleotides) under uncultured eukaryote. Its description in RNAcentral is "partial 18S ribosomal RNA". It matches the Rfam family "Eukaryotic small subunit ribosomal RNA", at positions 1470 to 1796 of the family's 1831-position model. The record is from RNAcentral.